Acanthosepion pharaonis is the source of this 107-nucleotide non-coding RNA. Lineage: Eukaryota; Metazoa; Mollusca; Cephalopoda; Sepiida; Sepiidae. The record is from the annotation of a GenBank genome assembly.
UACAGCCAUAUCAUGUUGAAUCACCGGUUCUCGUACGAUCGCCGAAGUUAAGCAACGCCGAGCUUGGUUACUACUUAGAUGUGUGACCCCUUACGAAUACCAGGUAC